Molecule: ribosomal RNA, 507 nt
Filed under: uncultured bacterium
Lineage: Bacteria
Description: partial 16S ribosomal RNA
Rfam family: Bacterial small subunit ribosomal RNA
Source: RNAcentral
GACGAACGCUGGCGGCGUGCCUAAUACAUGCAAGUCGAACGCAUUUUCUUUCACCGUAGCUUGCUACACCGAAAGAAAAUGAGUGGCGAACGGGUGAGUAACACGUGGGUAACCUGCCCAUCAGCGGGGGAUAACACUUGGAAACAGGUGCUAAUACCGCAUAAUUCCAUUUACCGCAUGGUAGAUGGGUGAAAGGCGCUUUUGCGUCACUGAUGGAUGGACCCGCGGUGCAUUAGCUAGUUGGUGGGGUAACGGCCUACCAAGGCUGCGAUGCAUAGCCGACCUGGGAGGGGGAUCGGCCACACUGGGACUGAGACACGGCCCAGACUCCUACGGGAGGCAGCAGUAGGGAAUCUUCGGCAAUGGACGCAAGGCUGACCGAGCAACGCCGCGUGAGUGAAGAAGGGUGUCGGAUCGUAAAACUCUGUUGUUAGAGAAGAACAAGGAUGAGAGUGGAAAGUUCAUCCCUUGACGGUAGCUAACCAGAAAGCCACGGCUAACUACGUG